Molecule: ribosomal RNA, 398 nt
Filed under: Sancus acoreensis
Lineage: Eukaryota; Metazoa; Arthropoda; Arachnida; Araneae; Tetragnathidae
Description: partial 16S ribosomal RNA
Rfam family: Bacterial large subunit ribosomal RNA (bases 1-239)
Source: RNAcentral
UUUUAAUAAAGAUUAAGUACUAAAUAGANNNCCCAACANUAGUUGAUUACANUGAACAAGUUACUGUAGGGAUAACAGCGUAAUAUAUAUCUAAAGUUCUUAUUUUGAUAUAAGUUUGCGACCUCGAUGUUGAAUUNAUAUUACUUUCAAGCGCAAGAGCCUGAAAAGUGGGUCUGUUCGACCCCUAAAUAUAUACAUGAUUUGAGUUCAAAUCGGUGUAAACCAGAUUGGUUUCUAUCUAUUNUUAUUUGUGUCUUAGUACGAAAGGACCUGAAACAAUAUUAUAUAAUNAUUUAUAUGGCAGAAAAAUGCUUUAGAUUUAGGAUCUAAUUAUAAUAGAUUAUUAUACUCUAUUUAACUUGCCUAAUCUCUGUUAUUAGAAUCCUUAUCGCAGUAGC